Molecule: ribosomal RNA, 472 nt
Filed under: uncultured bacterium
Lineage: Bacteria
Description: bacterial SSU rRNA
Rfam family: Bacterial small subunit ribosomal RNA
Source: RNAcentral
CUCUGUGACUCCUACGGGAGGCAGCAGUGGGGAAUAUUGCACAAUGGGGGAAACCCUGAUGCAGCCAUGCCGCGUGUGUGAAGAAGGCCUUCGGGUUGUAAAGCACUUUCAGUAGGGAGGAAGGUAGUGUAGUUAACACCUGCACUAUUUGACGUUACCUACAGAAGAAGCACCGGCUAACUCCGUGCCAGCAGCCGCGGUAAUACGGAGGGUGCGAGCGUUAAUCGGAAUUACUGGGCGUAAAGCGCAUGCAGGCGGCCUGUUAAGUCAGAUGUGAAAGCCCGGGGCUUAACCUCGGAAUUGCAUUUGAAACUGGCAGGCUAGAGUCUUGUAGAGGGGGUAGAAUUUCAGGUGUAGCGGUGAAAUGCGUAGAGAUCUGAAGGAAUACCGGUGGCGAAGGCGGCCCCCUGGACAGAUACUGACACUCAGAUGCGAAAGCGUGGGGAGCAAACAGGAUUAGAUACCCUGGGAG